CGUAGGGUGCAAGCGUUAAUCGGAAUUACUGGGCGUAAAGCGUGCGCAGGCGGUUAUGCAAGACAGAUGUGAAAUCCCCGGGCUCAACCUGGGAACUGCAUUUGUGACUGCAUGGCUAGAGUACGGUAGAGGGGGAUGGAAUUCCGCGUGUAGCAGUGAAAUGCGUAGAUAUGCGGAGGAACACCGAUGGCGAAGGCAAUCCCCUGGACCUGCACUGACGCUCAUGCACGAAAGCGUGGGGAGCAAACAGGAUUAGAUACCCUGGUAGUCCACGCCCUAAACGAUGUCAACUGGUUGUUGGGAGGGUUUCUUCUCAGUAACGUAGCUAACGCGUGAAGUUGACCGCCUGGGGAGUACGGCCGCAAGGUUG
This 370-nucleotide ribosomal RNA is filed under the name uncultured organism. RNAcentral describes it as "bacterial SSU rRNA". It matches the Rfam family "Bacterial small subunit ribosomal RNA", at positions 526 to 896 of the family's 1533-position model. The record is from RNAcentral.